AGUGAACGCUGGCGGUAGGCCUAACACAUGCAAGUCGAACGGCAGCACAGGAGAGCUUGCUCUCUGGGUGGCGAGUGGCGGACGGGUGAGGAAUACAUCGGAAUCUACUCUGUCGUGGGGGAUAACGUAGGGAAACUUACGCUAAUACCGCAUACGACCUACGGGUGAAAGCAGGGGAUCUUGGGACCUUGCGCGAUUGAAUGAGCCGAUGUCGGAUUAGCUAGUUGGCGGGGUAAAGGCCCACCAAGGCGACGAUCCGUAGCUGGUCUGAGAGGAUGAUCAGACACACUGGAACUGAGACACGGUCCAGACUCCUACGGGAGGCAGCAGUGGGGAAUAUUGGACAAUGGGCGCAAGCCUGAUCCAGCCAUACCUCGUGGGUGAAGAAGGCCUUCGGGUUGUAAAGCCCUUUUGUUGGGAAAGAAAUCCAGCUGGCUAAUACCCGGUUGGGAUGACGGUACCCAAAGAAUAAGCACCGGCUAACUUCGUGCCAGCCGCCGCGGUAA
Molecule: ribosomal RNA, 506 nt
Filed under: uncultured bacterium
Lineage: Bacteria
Description: partial 16S ribosomal RNA
Rfam family: Bacterial small subunit ribosomal RNA
Source: RNAcentral